Molecule: ribosomal RNA, 410 nt
Filed under: uncultured bacterium
Lineage: Bacteria
Description: bacterial SSU rRNA
Rfam family: Bacterial small subunit ribosomal RNA
Source: RNAcentral
AAUGGGCGCAAGCCUGAUCCAGCAAUGCCGCGUGGGUGAAGACGGCCUGCGGGUUGUAAAGCCCUUUAGGCGGGGAGGAACGGUCGGCGGCGAACAACCGCCGGCGCUGACGUUACCCGCGGAAUAAGCACCGGCUAACUCCGUGCCAGCAGCCGCGGUAAUACGGAGGGUGCGAGCGUUAAUCGGAAUUACUGGGCGUAAAGCGUGCGUAGGCGGUUCGGUCAGUCAGCCGUGAAAGCCCCGGGCUCAACCUGGGAACGGCGGUUGAGACGGCCGGACUGGAGUGGGCUAGAGGAUCGUGGAAUUCCGGGUGUAGCGGUGAAAUGCGUAGAGAUCCGGAGGAACACCGAUGGCGAAGGCAGCGGUCUGGGGCCACACUGACGCUGAGGCACGAAAGCGUGGGGAGCAAA